Molecule: ribosomal RNA, 468 nt
Filed under: uncultured bacterium
Lineage: Bacteria
Description: partial 16S ribosomal RNA
Rfam family: Bacterial small subunit ribosomal RNA
Source: RNAcentral
GACGAACGCUGGCGGCGUGCUUAACACAUGCAAGUCGAACGGAAAGGCCCUGCUUUUGUGGGGUGCUCGAGUGGCGAACGGGUGAGUAACACGUGAGUAACCUGCCCUUGACUUUGGGAUAACUUCAGGAAACUGGGGCUAAUACCGGAUAGGAGCUCCUGCUGCAUGGUGGGGGUUGGAAAGUUUCGGCGGUUGGGGAUGGACUCGCGGCUUAUCAGCUUGUUGGUGGGGUAGUGGCUUACCAAGGCUUUGACGGAUAGCCGGCCUGAGAGGGGGACCGGCGACAAGGCGCCUAAGAGAGGGAGCAGACUGGAAUGGGAGGCAGCGGGGGGAAAUCUUGCACAGUGGGCGGGAGUCUGUGGCGGCAGUGCUGCGAGCGGGAAGACGGCCUUCUGGGGGUAAACCGCUGUCGCCUGAGACGAAGCGUGAGUGACGGUAAUGGGUAAAGAAGCACCGGCUAACUACGUG